AACGAACGCUGGCGGCGUGGAUAAGACAUGCAAGUCGAACGGCCCCGACAUUUUAGCAAUAAAAUGUCGGGGUAGUGGCGAAAGGGUGCGUAACACGUGGCUACCUACCUCGAAGUUGGGGAUAGCUCGGCGAAAGCCGGAUUAAUACCGAAUGUGAUCGUGAGAUCAAAGCUGGGGAUCGUAAGACCUGGCGCUUUGAGAUGGGGCUGCGGCCUAUCAGGUAGUUGGCGGGGUAAGGGCCCACCAAGCCUAAGACGGGUAGCUGGUCUGAGAGGACGACCAGCCACACUGGAACUGAGACACGGUCCAGACACCUACGGGUGGCAGCAGUCGAGGUAUUUUUCNC
This 346-nucleotide ribosomal RNA is filed under the name uncultured bacterium. Its description in RNAcentral is "bacterial SSU rRNA". It matches the Rfam family "Bacterial small subunit ribosomal RNA", at positions 29 to 369 of the family's 1533-position model. The record is from RNAcentral.